GGUCACGUGAUGGAGUUGGUCACCAUACCUGUCUAACAAUUCUCUUCGCUUCACAGGAGGUCGGCAGUUCGAUCCUGCCCGGGAUCA
Molecule: transfer RNA, 87 nt
Filed under: Kwoniella mangroviensis CBS 8886
Lineage: Eukaryota; Fungi; Basidiomycota; Tremellomycetes; Tremellales; Cryptococcaceae
Description: tRNA-OTHER
Source: RNAcentral